This 253-nucleotide ribosomal RNA is filed under the name uncultured bacterium. Its description in RNAcentral is "partial 16S ribosomal RNA". It matches the Rfam family "Bacterial small subunit ribosomal RNA", at positions 524 to 776 of the family's 1533-position model. The record is from RNAcentral.
UACGAAGGGGGCUAGCGUUGCUCGGAAUCACUGGGCGUAAAGGGUGCGUAGGCGGGUCUUUAAGUCAGGGGUGAAAUCCUGGAGCUCAACUCCAGAACUGCCUUUGAUACUGAAGAUCUUGAGUUCGGGAGAGGUGAGUGGAACUGCGAGUGUAGAGGUGAAAUUCGUAGGUAUUCGCAAGAACACCAGUGGCGAAGGCGGCUCACUGGCCCGAUACUGACGCUGAGGCACGAAAGCGUGGGGAGCAAACAGG